This 35-nucleotide transfer RNA is filed under the name Staurois latopalmatus (Sabah splash frog). RNAcentral describes it as "partial tRNA-Arg". The record is from RNAcentral. Lineage: Eukaryota; Metazoa; Chordata; Amphibia; Anura; Ranidae.
GACUUCAAGGGGGCCUUGAGUGAGCUGAAUGAGGU